AUUGAACGCUGGCGGCAGGCCUAACACAUGCAAGUCGAACGGUAACAGGAAGAAGCUUGCUUCUUUGCUGACGAGUGGCGGACGGGUGAGUAAUGUCUGGGAAACUGCCUGAUGGAGGGGGAUAACUACUGGAAACGGUAGCUAAUACCGCAUAACGUCGCAAGACCAAAGAGGGGGACCUUCGGGCCUCUUGCCAUCGGAUGUGCCCAGAUGGGAUUAGCUAGUAGGUGGGGUAACGGCUCACCUAGGCGACGAUCCCUAGCUGGUCUGAGAGGAUGACCAGCCACACUGGAACUGAGACACGGUCCAGACUCCUACGGGAGGCAGCAGUGGGGAAUAUUGCACAAUGGGCGCAAGCCUGAUGCAGCCAUGCCGCGUGUAUGAAGAAGGCCUUCGGGUUGUAAAGUACUUUCAGCGGGGAGGAAGGGAGUAAAGUUAAUACCUUGGCUCAUUGACGUUACCUGCAGAAGAAGCACCGGCUAACUCCGUG
Molecule: ribosomal RNA, 490 nt
Filed under: uncultured bacterium
Lineage: Bacteria
Description: partial 16S ribosomal RNA
Rfam family: Bacterial small subunit ribosomal RNA
Source: RNAcentral